AAGCGUGCGACAGGCGGUUUUGUAAGACUGUCGUGAAAUCCCCGGGCUCAACCUGGGAAUGGCGAUGGUGACUGCAAGGCUAGAAUUUGGCAGAGGGGGGUAGAAUUCCACGUGUAGCAGUGAAAUGCGUAGAUAUGUGGAGGAACACCGAUGGCGAAGGCAGCCCCCUGGGUCAAAACUGACGCUCAUGCACGAAAGCGUGGGGAGCAAACAGGAUUAGAUACCCGGGU
RNAcentral lists this ribosomal RNA (230 nucleotides) under uncultured bacterium. Its description in RNAcentral is "partial 16S ribosomal RNA". It matches the Rfam family "Bacterial small subunit ribosomal RNA", at positions 563 to 791 of the family's 1533-position model. The record is from RNAcentral.